CCCUAUGGGGUGCAGCAGGCCGUAGGUAGGAGGAACCCAUGAAAGCAUCCGAGAUAGCGAUCAUCGUGGUGAUCCUCGCACAGACUUGCAUGUAAGUGCUUAAACUUAUGGAGAAAUGGAAAUACAUCGCAUGAAAGGAGCGUAGCAUGGGCGUAAACGGGUUCCGAGAAGAUGAACUGGUAAGCCGCAGAGUCAAGGUCGGCAAUGAAUGGCAAACCCGAAUCUUCCCAGUAGUGGGAGGGAGAUUGCGCAUUCUCCACGAAAACAACGACCGCCUCGGCAUCCAGACUGAAAUCGUAAGGUUGGACACGGACUUCGUGGUUGUCAAAGCCGCAGUGGAGAACCAAAGGGGAAAGUUCAACGGCACGGGAACCGCUUCAAGCCAAAGAGAUGCGAGGCUGGCGGACUCGCUGGUGGAAUUGGCGGGGGAGC
This 432-nucleotide ribosomal RNA is filed under the name uncultured prokaryote. Its description in RNAcentral is "partial 16S ribosomal RNA". The record is from RNAcentral.